AAGUCGUAACAAGGUUUCCGUAGGUGAACCUGCGGAAGGAUCAUUAACAAAUCCGUCGUGAGAUCUCUCACUGACAUGAACCGGAUCUCCGAGAGGAGAUUCGCCUGUGGGUCUGCUGGUGGUCGUUCGACCUCUGGCCUGACCCGCAGAAAUAGGCUAUGUUUGUAUGUCUUAUCAUCGCUAAUCACAAUCAAUCAUAAACAACUUUUAACAAUGGAUCUCUUGGCUCUU
RNAcentral lists this unclassified non-coding RNA (231 nucleotides) under fungal sp. RNAcentral describes it as "partial internal transcribed spacer region". The stretch from base 1 to 46 matches the Rfam family "Eukaryotic small subunit ribosomal RNA", at positions 1786 to 1831 of the family's 1831-position model. Lineage: Eukaryota; Fungi. The record is from RNAcentral.